GACAGAGGGUGCAAACGUUGUUCGGAAUUACUGGGCGUAAAGCGUGUGUAGGCGGCUGUAAAAGUCGGAUGUGAAAGCCCCGGGCUCAACCCGGGAAGAGCACCCGAUACUGUACGGCUUGAGUACCGGAGAGGUUGGUGGAAUUCUCGGUGUAGAGGUGAAAUUCGUAGAUAUCGAGAGGAACACCGGCGGCGAAGGCGGCCAACUGGACGAGUACUGACGCUGAGACACGAAAGCGUGGGGAGCAAACAGG
This 253-nucleotide ribosomal RNA is filed under the name uncultured bacterium. Its description in RNAcentral is "partial 16S ribosomal RNA". It matches the Rfam family "Bacterial small subunit ribosomal RNA", at positions 524 to 776 of the family's 1533-position model. The record is from RNAcentral.